CCUGGGAAUGCUGAGAAGAUGAUGUGCUCUGUAUGGGUGCUCUGAUGUCAUGCUCCUGAGUGCAGAGCAAAAUGAUCAGCCAUGGACACAGGACAGGGAACUGGGCAGCAGUUGUACAGAAAAGAUUUGGGAUACUGCUGGAUUCAAAGCUGAACCAGAAUCACAGAGUCAUAGAAACAUUUAAUAUGGAGAAGGCCUCUGAGUUCAUUGAGUCCAAUUAUUAACCCAACACUGCCAAGUCCAUCAUUAAACCAUGUUCCUAAGUGCCACAUCUACUUAUCUUUUAAAAAGUUCCAGGGCUGGUGACUCAACUACAUCCUUGGGCAGCCUGUUCUGAUGCUUGAUCAGCCUUUCAGUGGUAGAAAAUGGUAGAAAAAGUGGUAGAAAAAAUCCUAAUGUCUAUUUCACAUGUUCUGAGAAAAGCCCACACCACAUUAGGGUACAUAAGUGGUAAUGUUAUGUGUAAGAAACUUGUGCUGUCAUAGAUAUGAGGGGCUGAGCUCUGUUUGUUGGUGCUGGUAUUUCCUGGAGCACUGACUCCGGCUUAGCAACACACUUUGAAAAAGGUAUGGACUGAUCAGCAAGGGUUCACAAGAGCAGAGGGAAAGAGUAGAAGAAAUAUGGGUAAUGAAUGAUGAGGAGAAACCCUGCGGGGCGAGCGAGCUGCUCUCGUUAACCGGGGAGCGCUGAAACAGCCGACACAGCCGCUCCAGAAAUGCUGAUGGAAAAUGCCAGCCUGCCCCGCCAGCCCAGCAGCCUCCCAAGGCCAGCGGCGAGGGGAGACCUUUGACUGUAAGGGAAGAAGUUCUGACUAAGAAGCAAACCAGGAAUUUGGAAUAUAAGCGGGAAAUAAGACACCUGAGGUCAUGGGGCGAAAUUACUGGCUGGUGUGUCUUUUUUAUUUUUUAUUUUCUGAUAAAAAAUCUUCCUCUUUGCUCUAUUUUUUUCUUCUUCUUCAUACUUCUUUCUAAAGUAUGGAAAUCUAGAAGAAGGG
This 994-nucleotide long non-coding RNA is filed under the name Cyanistes caeruleus (blue tit). RNAcentral's name for it is "lncRNA (ENSCCEG00000009434.1)". Lineage: Eukaryota; Metazoa; Chordata; Aves; Passeriformes; Paridae. The record is from RNAcentral.